AGCAGCACACCACUUUUGAAGGGGCAAAAAUAGCACUUUUGCGGUGGCAAAUUUGCACCUCCAAAUUUUGUUCUAUGAGUGUUCUUUGGCAAGAGUUUGGGUAUUGCAUGGGGCGAACAUUGGGUAAACAGGCGGUGGAAGAAGGAAAAAAUAGAAGCCACACAAUGUGCGGAGAAGGUGUCUCGCCAGUGAUGUCUUCUAUAUGUGGUGGCCCAGAGCUAUGAGAAUGAUGGGACAAUAUUGCAAAAUUCAUACCGAACGUGCCGUGAGAAAAGCCCGGAAGAGAAAAGCCGUGAGAAUUGGACAUGAUUUUAUUGCUGAAACUCAACUCUUUGUGGGGAAAGUAUAUCCGCUACAUAAUAUAGAUGCGCAACACCCCCGCGCUCAUCGAAAGCUUAGUUAUGGGAUUAGGGUAUGCGAGAAAAACCAUGAAGAUGUGGUCCAAAGCAUGGUAGCGAGCAUAUUUGCAACAUAGGCACGUACUUUACAGGAACACACA
Long non-coding RNA from Lutzomyia longipalpis, 499 nucleotides. RefSeq lists it as uncharacterized. Lineage: Eukaryota; Metazoa; Arthropoda; Insecta; Diptera; Psychodidae. The record is from RefSeq and is a predicted model, not a curated record. The transcript is spliced from 3 exons.